RNAcentral lists this long non-coding RNA (13612 nucleotides) under Gossypium barbadense (sea-island cotton). Its description in RNAcentral is "long non-coding RNA (GBAR_LNC007034)". Lineage: Eukaryota; Viridiplantae; Streptophyta; Magnoliopsida; Malvales; Malvaceae. The record is from RNAcentral.
UUUGAAAGAAAAAGUGGGAUUUCAAAAUAAAAGACCAAAUUGUAAAGAAAUGAAAACCCCUCUACAUCUAUCUAUAACCAACGUGACAUGUAUGGAAGAUGAGAGAAUUUUCUACACUUUUCUCCAAAAAUACCUCAUUUAAUUAUUUAAUUAAAAUAUUAAAAUAUCCUAUAAAUUAAUAAAACAAUCAACAAAUCACAAUUAAACACCUUUCAUCCUUAAUUAUUAUACCAUAUAAUUAUCUAAUUUGAGAAAUGGUCAUUUUACCUUUCACAUUUCUUCAAAAUCCUUAAGUCAUUACUCACUUUGAUAAAAUUAUGAUUUAGUCCCUCAUAUUUCUUUCAGUUAUCCAAUUUGGUUCCUCUACCCCAAUUACAUAUCUUAAGAAAUUGGGUUAUUUACUUUUGAUCCUUUAAAUUUUCUCAUAUUUACACUUUAACCCCUUAAAUUUUGAAUAACUGUACUCGUACCUCAAAACUUUUGACAUUAUUACAAUCUAGUCCCUUCCUUAAAUCAACAUUCUUCUUAACUUAAUUUUUUUUUUGGCAUCUCUUACCCCUUUUCUUUUAUCAUCUUUAUAUCUUCUCCACAUUUUACGUGUAAAUCAAUUAUACACUAUUUUAAUUUAAUACUACUUUUAUAAUAUAUAGAUUUUAGGGGUGAUUUUAGGGGUGUCACAUGUUAUCAUUGAGAAAGUCAUAAAAAAUUAUAAGUGUUUAAUAAUUAACCUAAUGAUUUAGGAAAUAGAAUAGAUUUCAAAGACAUUGUGAUACGGGGUUGCGCGCGGACCAAGAUCGAGUUGCCAAGUCACGAGAAACUCCUACGAAAACCCUAAACAAUUAGAUCUAAAACAAAACAGAAAAUUAAAAGAUUAGAUUUUUGAAUUUUCAGAUCUGAAAUAAAAUCCCCAAAACAGUAAAGAAUCAAAUAGAGAAUAGAAAUAAGUGUUAGGGUUCUUGAAACCCUCAAGGAGAUUGUGAUUCUGCCCAAUUGAACACCAAGAUAGUUUUCCCCAAAUUUCGACAAUCUAAUUUCACCCAAAAAGAGUAUAGAAAAACCCUAGAAAUUGGGGAUUUUUGGGCUGAUUCCUUAAGAUAGAAAAAGGCUGAAAACACAAUAAGAACAGAAAAUAGAUUAGAUAAUGAUUCAGCCCAAGUAGAAAUAAAGAAAGAAUUGACAGUAAGAAAUUAAAAGAUAAGUCCUAAGAAGCCUUGAAAUCUCGAAAGAUCUCACAACUCCCUUCAAACGGCUCUAAUCUCCCCUCCAAAGAAUAUCAAUGGCAAGAAGAAGGUUGAAGAUGGCUCCCACAAUCAAAAAGAUUGUUAAAACAACUUCUAAAGAAAACUCAAGAGAGAAAUCUUGGAGAAAACUCAAAGAAAAUUCUGCUCUCAACAAAUCUGAAAAUUUUAAUAAUAAUAAUAAGUGUUUAACAAGGUGGACAGCCAUGCCUUUAAAUAGGCCUUAUAACUAGUCCUAAUCUAAUUAGAAAACUAAAAUAAAAAAACUCCUAAUUAUUUUAAUAUGGAAAUUCGGUCAAAGGUCAUUUUAUCUGGGACUCUUGGACUGAAUAUUGACAUAAAAAUUUAAACUAAGUAAAUAAAUAAAUAAAUAAAUAAAAAUAAAAAUAAAACUUUACAACUUGGGCCACUUUGACAAUUUGGCCUGAUUUUCAACUAAGUAUGGAUGGAUUUCUUGAUUGGGCUGGGAAUUUACUUAUUGGGCCUCGCCUUCAAGAAUUUGGGCUUUUGUGACUCGUAUCAUUCCCCCUUCCUCAAAAAGAUUCGUCCUCGAAUCUGAAAAAUCAAAUGAACUCGACUUUCCUCUAUCGAACGGGACUAAUGGCAAUUGAGUCCACUGAGAAGAAUAGCCAUGAGAUAGUAAAUAGCAACGGAAAUAAGCUUGUAGUCCAAUCAUAAGCAUAAUAGAACAGGUAUAACGCAUGUGAAUAGACAGAUUCAGAUUACCAUGCAAACAAUCUAAUUUACUCACCACUGCCUCGUCAAAUAUUUGAAACAAAGAUGGACAUGUUUUAAGGCAUUCAGUCGUCUCACAUUGUUCCCACAAACCAUGAAUAAAUUGCGAGUAAUAAAUCAAAUGGUAAACAUAAUCGUCACAAGUAGGUAUUUGAAAAGAUUCACAUGGUUCACAGAGUUGCAUAAUCAUACCAUGCAUUAAUCGACGGUCUAUAGAUUCACUCACACAUGCAUUAUCAAAAACAAGAAUCUUUUUAUCAACCAUCAAAACAGAUAGAUCAUCAAUAAAUAAAAUAGGACAGUCAAGCACGUUUCGAUCUAAGUGUUCAUCAACACGAUCUUUAUCACUAUUCGAGGAGUACAAAAGUGUUUCAAAGGUUUCAAGCAUCUUACCUCGAUAAGCAGAAGAAUAAGGGUCGAUUUUACCUUUUUCAUUUAAAACAAACCUUCGCUCAUCGGGGGCAUAGUGUAGUCGAAUCUUCGUUGUUGAGUUAACGUUUGUCAAAUGGAACUCAAACUUCAUGUACAACCACAUAAACUGUUUAAGGCACGAAUAUAAAUUGAAAACAAAUUUGGAAAAUUUCGUUACCUUAUUCUCCAAAACAGAUUUGGACAAAUUCAAGGAUUUUACACAAGGUAAAUCAAGAGAAUAACAAAUCACGCUUCUUUUCGUAAUGACUUUAUCAACCACAAUCGAAGAGUAACAAUUAAUCGGAUCAAAAUGAGGGGAUCUUUUAAGAACUAAGUCACAAAAACUUUUAUCAAUAAUUUUCAAAUCUGCACUGGACUCGGUUUUUAAAAUUUCCUUACCUCGCUUACCUUCGGGAUCAUGUAGUGUGAUUUCAUCUUUACUUAAGUUGAUCGUAUGAAAGCGUCUUUCAUUUAAGAGGUAUUGAAGUUGAAAGUUAUCUUUCGAUCUUUCGGGAACCUGAAAAGUAGCAACACAAGAAAAAUUCAUAUCUUGGUUAGUGGAAACAUUCCUCACUACCAUUUCCACGUCUUUUUCUUUUGUUUCUUUUUCUAAUUCAUUUUCUCUUCUUUCUUCAACUUCUUUUUCAAUUUUCUUUUCUGUUUCACAUUCCUUUUCACUCUCAAUCUCUUUUUGCUCUUUUUCAUUCUCUUUUUCUUUUUCCUCACUUGUUUUAACAGAAUUUCUCAGUUUGAUUUGGUCCUCAUGGACUUGUUCCGGAGUGAGCGGCACUAAGGUGAGUUUCUUUCCUUGAUGCUUGAAAGAAUACCUAUUGGUACGACCAUCGUGAGUGACUUUUCGAUCCAGUUGCCAUGGUUCUCCUAGCAACAAAUGGCAGGCUUGAAUAGGCAUUACGUCGCACACAACUUCGUCUUGAUACUUACCGAUAGAAAAGGCAAUGCGCACUUGUUGAGUGACCCUAAAUUGGCCUUCGUUGCUAAGCCCUUGUAGUGGAUAAGGUUGUGGAUGCUUGGUAGUGGUUAAGCAAAGCUUUUCCACCAUCGUCGUGCUGGCUAUGUUCGAGCAACUUUCACCAUCAAUAAUAACUCUAUAAAGCUUACCUUGUACAUGGCAGCGAGUAUGAAAGAGAUGUUCUCGUUGCUGCUCGCUCUUUGGUUUUGCCAAAGAGGAUUGUCCACGAUCAUGAAAAUCAUCAUCCAUUCUAAGGACACGUCGAGGGCCGCGCCUCUGGGGUUGGUUAUCCCUAUCUUCUUUGAUUGGAUCUCGAUAUUGAGGUUCUUGAUUCAAUUGCACCUCAUUGAUGGUAGCAGUCAAAGCUCGAAGAGCAGCAGCCUGUUCAUCCAACUGUUGUUGGAAUUUUUUAAAUAUGUCACUAUUAUUAUCACCUGUAGACAUUUUUUUUAAAACCUGCAAAACACUCAACACUCAAAAAUAAAAGUUAUCAAACCUCACCGUUAAUCACUCAAAAAGAAAAAAUCAAAUUCUCAAUGAGGUCGAAUUCAAUCUUGUGAGUUCUUUAUCAGAGUUUAUAUCAACCAAUUAGAGAGUGUGAACCAAACUACCAAAGAAUCCUAAUUUGCACUAGGAUGCCAAAAACUGACGAGACACCAAUUGAUUCGUGUUGCACCGAGGAAGAAGUUGUGCACACGUUUAAAUCCUACUAACACAAGAACCAAGAAGGUGUUAGAUAACGUAAAGGAAGAAUAAAGGUAAACAAAUGAAAACCUACAGCUAAGAAUCAAUAAAAAUUGCUGAAAACAGAAAACCCGAAAAACUGCGGAGUAACUUGACAACUUUGUUCGAGGUGUUCCCGAUCUCCAAAAAUCACGAAAUUAAAUCUGGAGUGUCCUUAUAUAUUGAAUUUUUGAUCUGGAAAUUUUGGGCACCAAAUUCAACCCGCUGAAUCUUUUUUUUAAAUUUUUAUUGAAUUUUGUCUUUUUUGAUUUUUUUGACUUUUUGACUGAUUUUUUUGCGGGAAUAAUUUUUUUAUAUUCAAUCACAGUGCCAAAAACAUGUAUGUAAAAUUUCAGAUCAAUCGGACAACGUUUACCCACUCAAAUGAAUUUUUUUUGAACAAUUUUUCUGGGUAAAACUACUGUUUAUGCUUUAAAAAAUAGAGAUCAGUUUAGAAAUAAACCAAGAACACUCAAAACGCCCAAAAUCUGAUACCAAAUGAUACGGGGUUGCGCGCGGACCAAGAUCGAGUUGCCAAGUCACGAGAAACUCCUACGAAAACCCUAAACAAUUAGAUCUGAAACGAAACAGAAAAUUAAAAGAUUAGAUUUUUGAAUUUUCAGAUCUGAAAUAAAAUCCCCAAAACAGUAAAGAAUCAAAUAGAGAAUAGAAAUAAGUGUUAGGGUUCUUGAAACCCUCAAGGAGAUUGUGAUUCUGCACAAUUGAACACCAAGAUAGUUUUCCCCAAAUUUCGACAAUCUAAUUUCACCCAAAAAGAGUAUAGAAAAACCCUAGAAAUUGGGGAUUUUUGGGCUGAUUCCUUAAGAUAGAAAAAGGCUGAAAACACAAUAAGAACAGAAAAUAGAUUAGAUAAUGAUUCAGCCCAAGUAGAAAUAAAGAAAGAAUUGACAGUAAGAAAUUAAAAGAUAAGUCCUAAGAAGCCUUGAAAUCUCGAAAGAUCUCACAACUCCCUUCAAACGGCUCUAAUCUCCCCUCCAAAGAAUAUCAAUGGCAAGAAGAAGGUUGAAGAUGGCUCCCACAAUCAAAAAGAUUGUUAAAACAACUUCUAAAGAAAACUCAAGAGAGAAAUCUUGGAGAAAACUCAAAGAAAAUUCUGCUCUCAACAAAUCUGAAAAUUUUAAUAAUAAUAAUAAGUGUUUAACAAGGUGGACAGCCAUGCCUUUAAAUAGGCCUUAUAACUAGUCCUAAUCUAAUUAGAAAACUAAAAUAAAAAAACUCCUAAUUAUUUUAAUAUGGAAAUUCGGUCAAAGGUCAUUUUAUCUGGGACUCUUGGACUGAAUAUUGACAUAAAAAUUUAAACUAAGUAAAUAAAUAAAUAAAUAAAUAAAAAUAAAAAUAAAACUUUACAACUUGGGCCACUUUGACAAUUUGGCCUGAUUUUCAACUAAGUAUAGAUGGAUUUCUUGAUUGGGCUGGGAAUUUACUUAUUGGGCCUCGCCUUCAAGAAUUUGGGCUUUUGUGACUCGUAUCACAUUGGUAUUGAAAGAAUGGAAGUGAGGUAAAGACCCCAAACUUAUUUUUAAAGGAAUGAUUAAAAGAAUAAAGACUAACAUGGUAAAGGUACGAAGACAUAAGGCUAAAGUCUAAUUAAAAGAAGGUUACAUAUAAAAGGUCUAAGCAUUAAAAGAAGAGUUGUGUCAUAGACUUCAAUUAAAAUUUUGAGAACCAUUCAAUGUUAAGACUGAUAUUUACUAUAUAUGGCACUAUUAGAAUUCAAUCGAGCACUACUGAGCUCUUGUAACUCAGUGCAUAGUUCUUAUUAUCGCGCAUAUGUCGAAGCUGAAAUUUGAGUUUCAGGUUGAGAAGAGUUGCAUGGCCAUUGUCAAGUCACAACCGUAUCUUGACAUACUCCUUUUGUUCUUAUGUUUUGGUUAAAAUUUGUAGAAGCAGCAUGUACAUAAUAAGGAUGUUAAUGUGAGAAUUCAAGCCUUUGUUUUGAUGAUAGCUUGGCAUGUAAUUAAAAAUACCAGGCUAUGGUUAGUAUGUUUAUGAUAUGAAUGCUAUAGUUGGCUGGUCUUUAAUUGUGAUGGACGAUGGAUUGAAAUUAAGACCUUUGAUAGGUCACUAGAUAGAUUGCAAUUUAUAUGAGCAUAGUGAACUUUGAGAUAGUUGUUUAGACGUUAAAACCUAGCCUAAAAACUCUAGAGUGACACCAAAGCUAUGGUAGGAAUUUCUAGCAAGGGAACCUUAAGAUGCCUUACUGAGGCUUCACUGCACCUAGGCAUUGAUAUCUUAAGUCAGGGUAUCAAUACUUGCAACGUCGAAACGAACUUUUGAGAGCACUAUAGUAUUGAUACUUUACCUUUUGAGUAUCAAUACUUAUAAACAAUGAAGCAAGGAUGUAUAAAAAUUAUAUAUUAAUAAUUGCUUGGAAUCUAUAGUUUAAGUGGUGAGAAAGGCAUAUGGAAUAAUUUCCAUGCUAUGGCUACUCUAACUGAUGAUUUAGAAACUUGGUAGACUUCUAAUCAUGCAGGCACAAAAUUUAUCAUAAAGUAACUGAAGUAAUAUUAAAUCAUGUUAGCAUAUUACUAGAUUUUUCACACAUAUACUAAUGUUAUUUCAAUUUGUAGUUAUUUAAAUAAAACUUUAUCUUAAAUAACAAUUAAUUUUAUUUAAAUAAAUCAACUUAAGAUGGUGUAGCUAUUAUUGAUUUAAAAUUUUUAAAAUGACGUAGUAUAUGUAUAAUAUAGAAAAUCACAUACACUAUUUAAUAACAUAUAGUAUAUGCCCAAGACCAUUAUCACUUACAAAAUAAAUGAAUAAUUUUUAUGGCAUCAUUAUGCAUAUUGUAAUUAAAAUUGAAACAACAAAAUUUGUACAACAGAUCUAUUUUGUUAAAUAUAUUCAAUAAAAAAACUUACCAUACCCAUGUCAGAUACAUAAUUGUAUCCAACAAUCACACCUACACAUAUAUUUCUAUUACAAUAAAAAAUAUGAUGAAAUGUGUUUGGAAUUUGGUGUUAUAAUCAUAAGAAUUACUUAUACUUGAGGUUCACUUCCAUGGUUUUUAACUAAUCAUCAUAACAUGAACAUGGAAAUGUCAAUCAGGCAACAUUACAGAUAAAAGAAAUAUUACUAUCUAGAACGCACCUGAUUCAACUUGCAACGCUUUCCAUAGUGGCAAUUCUACAUUUGAUGAGUUACUCAGAAAGUUGAACAAUUUCUUAAGGGAGGAAAGUCUUGAGAGAGAGAGAGAUGGAGAGAGAGAGAGAGAAGUCUUCAAUUGAUAAAAACAAAUCAUUCCAGCACAUAUAUGAUUCUGACUUGGACCCCGGAUGCUUUUUCAGCCAUUCAUCAAAAAGUCGAACCAUUGAAUCCAAAGAAUGACCGCUGCACCAAUAAAAACAAGAAUAGACAUAAGAUGAAUUACUAGAAGUGAUGGAGGAAUUGAAUGGCAAUUGAACUUCAGAGCACCAAUUAAAGUACCAAUAACUCCAUCCAACAGAAAUUAAUCUCGUUUCAUGCAAGUUAUUUAAACGCAAGUCCAAUGGCAUUGCUGUGUUUCAGUAACCUGAUGACAUAACAUGUUUCUUUAGAUCUUAGCAUAUUCAUAAAAUCAGAAGUUCGAAUAUGGAUACACAUUUGCACAUACGAAAAGGCAUGCAAGUGGACAGAUCGCAUGUCUUCCUUUUGGCAUAUAUAGUAAUAGGAUAAUGUAUUUAAGAUAGAUAGAUAGAUAGAUAGAUAGAUACUCUAUGGAAUCAACUUCGAUUGUUCAAGAUACAGUCUUGAGUUGCCCGAAUUGUUUAUCCAGGGAACCUUGUCAUGUAUCCACUCAAGAGAAGUGUAAGAAUUAUGACUCCUAUAGCUUGUCAAUCUUGUAUAUAUGCUACAAUCCAGUCCUCUCAGAUAAACUUGUGCACAGUAAGAUCAUUUAUAUUUUUGAAAAAACAUUUCUUAUUUCUAGGUGUUCCUUCAGUAAGGAGACGACAUCAUGUUACAUAAUCAAACAGGGUAAUCACAUACUAAUCUUUAAAAACCUAUCCAACUGUUAACAGCCAAAAGUGAAUUAGGAUGCUUAACUCCAAGCAUCAUUAUCAGAAUCAGACAGGACAGUUAUUUGUUCAGGGUUUUGAGUUUCAAGUCCAUUAGUCCAACCGUUGGAUCAUUCAAGUCAAUGCUUUGAAUGAAAUGUCAUGUUCCCGAAUGAGCUCGGGGAAGGUAGAGUACAAAAUAGGAGCUGGGUAGGAUGGUUUGACUGCCAGGCCAGUCCAAGUUUUAUAACAGAGAUUUCAAGUGGCAAUGAAAGAAUAUCCCAGUAAAAAAUCCACACAAAUAAGUGCUUAAAAAGCAAGAUAGAUACUUUACUCAAUAUUAUGGAGUGCUAAAAUGAUUACUCUUAGUUUUAACAGGAAAAUAGAUCCAAAGUAAGAUGAAAUUGCUUCAUCUCAUUGAACCCAAAACCAAGAAUUGUUACUCUAUUUUGAAUUUUGCUUAUGCAUAAGAGAUCAAAAUCACAACCACUUUAGAAGGAAAGACAAUAAAUUUCUAAAAGUCACUUGAAAUGAGUAAAACUGAGGCUAGAAAGGUCUUCUUGCAAGUGAUAAUAUCAUCUUUGGCCUCAUUCUGAUGAGUAUGAUGCAAUUUUAUUGCAUGGCAGAGAGUAGAAUCAAACCAAAGCAUAGUUGAAGAAUCAUCAAAAGCCAAAAAGCAUUGUUUGGUUCCAUAGAAUAUCUAAAAUGUGAGAUAUACAAACAAUUUAUUUCUGUUUGCCUCCUACUAUAUUUUGGCUAAAGUUGAGCUCAAAGAAUAUAAAAAUUGGGUAUGAAUGAUAAAGAUUAUGAUUACAACUAAAUAAUUUACAUCAGACAAAGCAUAUAUGCGUUAAAGAUUAUUAUCUGUGAAAAGAAGAAAAUAAUCCAUGAAUACCAUGGAAUGAAAAGAGUAAAAGUAGAGUGAAAAAAAAAGACCUGAACAUCAUAGAAUUUGAUGUAGAAGCGGGAGCUAUCAAUUGAGAGCUUGGUUUGAAGAAUAUCAGCUACAGUUGAACUCAAUUUGGCAUUAACAGAAGGUCCAAGGCCCCCAAUAGAAAUCAAUUCUCCAUAAGCAGCAGGGGCUUCCGUCCCAGCAAAUGCCAUGGGAACUCCGCCAUUAACCAAAAUCAUCACGUACUGUUAACCCAUUUUUACCCCCCCCCCAAAAAAAAUUAACCAAAAUAAAGCCAUUAAAAUUAAAAUAGACAAGGAAAAAAAGAAGUAAAUAAGAACAAACAGAUUCAGGUUUGCCAAUGAUUUUGGCAACAGCUUUGGUGGCGUCCUUAAGGAUGUCAGAGGUGGUGACGGCGUCCACAGGUACGUUGGUGUAUAAAUUCAAGGUGGGCAUUUCCUACUUCUUCUUCUUCUUCUUCCCCUGGUUUUUGGAGUGUUAGCAGUUUAAAUGAAUGAGUGGCUUGAAAUAGAAAUUAUAUUCUUUGCCUACAAUAUGCCGCUCUCCACCAAUACACAUUGCGGCACCGCCCCUUUCGCUUUAAAACAAAACAAAACAAAACAAAAGUGAUGUCAUUUUAUUGAACGUUUUUUUAUUCCGAGAAUUAUAUGUUUUUCAAAUAAUUGUUACAUGUCUGUCAAUCCCUUCUCAAAAUGAUUUUUUUUUUUCCAAGACAACACAUUUAAUUAUUAAAAAAAUUAUAUAAAUAUUUUAUAUUAUUAUGUCAGUGGAUGCUUAUUACAAUAAUAAGUUUGAUUUAUUUUGGGAUUUUAAUGUAACUAAUUAAAAGUGAAGUUUUAUAUUACCUAUAUUUUUUUUAUGUGUAUAAAUAUAAAUUUUAGAGAAACAUGAUAAUUAUAUUUAUUCAUCAAGAAUUAUUUGUUUAUUAUUUUCUUUUUUUAUAAAAGAAUUACUUUUCAAUUUUUUACUUAUAAAAUAUGAUAAAAUUAAUCAUCGAAAUGGGAUUGCAUGGCCAUUAUUUAUAAGAAUAGACAAAGUAAUAGUGAUCCCACGGUGCCACCUGAGCAACUAGUGGCACCACACUCACCUGACAACAAUUUUUGCGUAAUUGAUUAAAUUUUUAAAAAAUAAUAAUUUUUUGUGCCACCUGAACAAACAGUGACAUUGGUAUGUAUCAUGUAAAAAUAUGCCCUUUAAAAGUACAAAUACAUAUCGAAAAAAUUAUUUUUUAAUAGUGUCGUUGACAUGUCAGGCGGCACCGGAAUAAAUUAAUAUACAAUUUCUUUUUUUUAUUUUUUAAAAAAUUAAAAAAAAGACUGAAAAGUCAAAAAUUAGCAGAACCCAUGAUUGACUGGUUACGUCGGUAGCAGGUCGUCAGGCCAUUAUCGCCUGACAGCUUGGCGGCACCAACCUAACGACCUGCCACCGAUCUGACCAAUCAGUCACAGUUAUGUUGAUUUUUGACUUUUCAUGUUUUUCUUUAAUUGUUUCUAUAUUAAAUAUAUAUAUAUUAAUUUUAGUAUAAAAGGGGUGGGUUUGGUCCCCAACCCCCACACAAUUGGUUAAAAAAAAAUGAAAGGUCCCACCCAUAGCCGACUUAAGGUAUGUUAAUUUUUUUUUGUAGGACAACUCCGUCAAACCAUCAAUUUUGAUGGUUGUUGUAGCGAUGUAAAAAUUUUGCUUUGGUUGCUAGUUGAGGCGAUUAUUUGAAAAUUUGAAAACCGACUUGCGAUUUUAUUAAAAAGGGGAGUCGCCACUAAUCCUUUUUUCUAGGUGUGAUCGGACACCUAAUAAAUCAUCUUUUUUUUAAAAGAAUUUUUUUUUAAAAAAAAGAAGGCCGAGUUUAGGUCUACGUUAAAAGCCAGAGAAAGAAUAAGGUUCGGGAGUCGGUUACGCGCGAGGAAGGUAUUAGCACCCUCGCAACGCCCAAAAUUAGUAUCUUAUUAAACAUGUGUUGUCUUAAUUUUUAAAAAUACGAGUUCAAUUUGACAUUUAAUCGUGAUCCGAUUGAAAAAUGAGAAUUUUUAAUUUUCGGCUUUUUAGAAGGGUGACCCGUUUUUAACACGAGCCGACGAAUUUCGCCCAACAUAGCGAUCAAAUCGAUGACUUAAUAUUAAAUCGGUUCAUUGCCUUAUUUAUUGAAAUUAAUAAAAAAAUAUGAAUAAAAAUCUUCAAAGUAGUGAACAACAAAAUGAUAUAAAAUGGGCGGUAAACAAAAAAAUAAAAGAGUUAGAAAUACAUCGAAACAAAUAAUAAAUAUGACAAUAAUAUUAAAAAUAAUAACAAUGUAUGCGAUAUUAAACAUGAUAACAAUAAUAAUAACACGAAAUAGAGACGAGCAUAUAUAUAAACAUAUAAUAAUAAGUGAAGUGCCGUAAACACAAUAUUAAAAAUACUAAUAGUGCUAUAUAUAUAUUAAAAUAUGUACAUAAUAAUAGGAAUGAAAAUUGUAUACAUAAUAAUGCUAAAUAUAUAUAUACAUAAUAUAUAUAAAAUGAACAUAUACAACAUAUAUUGGAAAUACUAAUAACAAAAAAAUACAUAUAUUAAUAAUACUACAUAAAUGUGUAUAUAUAUAUUAAAAUAAAAACAUAAUAUAGUUAUUAAUAUAUAUAUUAUAAAUAAUAAUAAUGUUACAAAACAAUUAUUAAUAACACUGCAUAAACAUAUACAUAUAUAUAUUAAAGAUAUGUACAUAUAUAAUAAACAUAUACUAAUAACAAUAAUAAUUAUAAUAAUAAUAAAAAGAUGUAUAUACACUAAAUAACACAUUAUAAUAUUAAAAUAAAAUAAUAAAUGACAAUAGUGAAAAUAAUAGGUAUAAUAAUAAAUAUAAUGAUAUAUGAAAAUAAUACUAUGUAAAGUAUAUAUACCCAUAUAAUAAAAUAUAUGUACUAAUAUUAAUAAUAAUAUAAUAGGGAUAAAAAUAGAUAUAAUAAUAUAUACAUAAUAUAUAAAAUAUAUAUAAUAUAUACAUAUGUUAGAAAUGAUAAUAAUAUAAAGAAAACUAUUCAUACGCUACAUAAAUACGUUUAUAUAUAUAUUUAUAUAUAUAUAUAAAUGAUAAUGGUGUUAGAAAUAUACAAUAUAGUAUUAGAAAUAUACAUAAAAUAGUAUAAAAGAUAUAUAACUAAUAAUAUUAAAAUGUAUACAUAAUAAUAUAUAUAAAUAUAAUAUUAAAAAUAUAUAUACAUAACAUAUAUGAAAGAUAUAUAUAUCAUAUAGUAUUAAAUAUUUACAAUAUAUACAUAUUAGAAAUAAAAAAACGACUAAUAAUAAUAUUACAUAAAUAUAUACAUAAUAAAACAUAUACUAAUAAUAAUAAUAAUAUAAAUAAUGGUAAAUACAAUAAUAAAUAAUAUUUAAAAAUAAAAAAAUAAAAAAAAUGGAAAAAAAUAAUAUAAAAACCAAAUUAAAUUUGGAAGAAGGACUAAAUUCGAAAAGAAAAUGAAGUUUUGGGGCGAAUUCGAAAUAAAAAGAAAGAGAAAGGGCUUAUUUGAACAAGCGUGAAACGUAGGGGGACCGAAACAGCAAUAUUUCCUUCCCCCCAAAAUGCAGCGCAUCAACGAGGACUAAAUUGAAAAGCGCGAAAAAUUGUGGGGCCAAAUUGAAAAUAAAUCGAAACUUAAUUGCAAAGCAAUAAAAAGCGGAAGGACCACGUGCAUAAAUAAUCCAUUAAACAAAAACACGCGGAUCCUCUAGCGGGUCGGGUCGGACGGAUUAGGUAUAGGCCAAAACGACGUCGUUUUGGGGUUAAAGGGCAGCCCUCAAAAUGACGUCGUUUUGGGAGGCUAUAAAAGGCCAAAUUUUUUGAAAAAAAAAUUAUUUGUAGCAUUUGAAAGAAGAGAGAGAGAGAGAGAGAGAGAGAGAGAGAGAGAAUUCUCUCUGGCCGAGCCCGAGCUCCUGCCUUGAACUCCGGUUGCCGUCCGUCACCGGUCGCCGACCACUGUGCACGGUGGCCGAAAAAUUCAAAAAGGUAUAUAUAUAUUUUUGUAUAUUUUUGUGUAUUUUUAAAAUAUGUGUGUAAAUGAAACAAUAAAGGAAAAUAAUCUAAGUGUGUAGAUAGAUUCGAAAAAAAAAACAAAUGAAUAGAAGGGAAAAUAGAUAAUAAUAAAAAACCUUUCGUUCGAAUCUAUUCUUUUGUUUUAAUGCUUCUUGCUGAGAUUUAAUGCUUCUAUUGGUGUUUGGAUCUAUCUUUUUAUUUGUGCUACUGCUAUUUCUUUUUUGUAUUUCCAAAAGAAAAGAAAAAACCCCUUUACAUUUGAUUUCUGGUGGCUUAUAUAGCCCAUUUCUUUACAAGAUUUCUAUUUUUUUAUGUAUACUGUCUUUUUCCCUUUAAUUUCUGCAGGCGAACGGCGGUGGAGGCAGUGGGCAGGUGAGUGGUGUCAGAAGAGGGCAGUUGGCUGAAAACUUAAGGCGGUGGCUAGCUAGGUUUUUUAGUUUUCUUUUUUUUUAUUUGUUGUGGGCUAGGGUUAAAAGAAUUUUGGGCUUUUGGUUUAAUUGGGUAUUGGGUAUUGGGUUUUGUUGUUGGGUCAAAAUUGGGCCUCAAUUGUUGUAAUUCAAAUGUUUUGAAUUUUUGUAAUGUAUAGUUUAAACUUUUUAAUUUUAUUUCACUAUAACGUUUGAC